AGCCUUCAGUAGCUGGUAGUGGAAGGAGGAGCUCUGACUACACUCUCACGACUGUUUUUUGCCUCUUGGUUCUUGUUAUGUCCCUUUCUUUUUGAAAUAAGACAGAAGGUCCCCACCUUCAUAGACAUAGAGAGAUCCCAUCUUAUUUGUUUUUAAAAAUAAAUUGAAAAGUGAGGCGGAGCCUUGUGAGGAUGAUGGGAGAGGGCUUCCAGAGAGGAAUUUCUUCUUUGGAAUUCCUGAAAUGGGAACAAACUUGUUUUGGGAAAAGGACAGAAAGACACAAAGGUGGCUGCAGCAGAGUGAAAUGAAUAUGAUGGGCUAAGGCCUCGUACACGUAGUGAGCAUUGACAAAGAAUAUGGACUUUAGUUGAGAUGGGAAACCACUGGAGGAUUACAGCCUGGGGAUUACUGUUAAUUCUCCAAGAAGAAGACUGACCAGCGGCUGUGUGAGAAUGUCCUGUAAUGCAGGCAAGGGUGGAAGCAGGGAGACCAGCUAGGAGGCUGGUGGCGAAGUGCAGGUUUGGACGCCCGCUCCAAGCGCUGGUUAAAAAUAAUAUGGAGACGGCACGGGAUUUGGCCUCUAGAAAAUAUAGGUCCCAUUGAAGAUGUGCAGGCGUCUGCACACGGCGGUGUGGAGGAGAAUAUGACAUCAGAUAUUGUAAGAUGUAUUUCUUUCUCUGGAAGAGAAAUGCUUUUUGUUUUUUCUGGGGCUUCUAGAAUAUCAAGUGAGUAUCAUUUUUGACUGCCAUCAUGAUUCAGGCCUCAGUGUCAUGGACUCUAGCGACCGGUCACUGGAGGUUAUGACCAGCUGAGGCCUGAUUGAAAAUGGCAGUCAAAGGACGGCAUCACUUACAAACUGUUUGGUAGUGAGUGUAUUUCUCAGUAGCAACCUUUUCUCCUUGAAAAAUAAUUUUGUAUUUGCCAGCCAACAUAGACUUGCUAAAUAUUCCAAAAAACCCACUGCAUGUUCCACAAGCAUCCUCUAUGCUUUAUUUGGGGGCCAGUGACUUGAUCACUGUUUCACAUCCGGUUUUUUAUUUCACCAAGUGAAUAAAGGCCUUUGCCAACAGAACCCAGCAUGAUCUGAUCCUCAUGGUGUUUUUUUUUUCUCUUAUUGCAGAGAAAGUCGAAAGCCCAGCGUCAAGUCUGUACAUAUACUUUUUUUUUUAAACAGCUUUAUUUAGACAUAGUUGACAUGCAAAACAACUCACCCAUUUAAAGUACGUGAUUCAGCGUUUUUACUAUAUUUACACGGUUGUGCAACCAUUGUUACAAUCUCAUCUUAGAACCUCUUUAUUCCCCCCUCAAAGAAACCCCACUAGUAGUCACUCCUGUUUUUCCCAUCUCCCAUGCCCCUGGAUCUAGGCAGCCACAAAUGUACUUCCUGUUUCUAUAGUACAGUGCUUUUCUGUAUUAACCGGUUCUUAAGGUGACUAUUUCGCAUUGAUGAAGUUGCUCUAGCUAGAAAGCCAAGGCUCUUUCAUUUCCUUCUGCCCUUCUCCUUUGCCAUCCUUCAACACCAAGGAGAAUGGUCCAGCAACAGCUCGGUCCAAGCUUGUCAACCGCCCACCUCCACACACUCCAGCCCCGGUCCACAUCCCCCAAGGCUCCUUGUGGGAUUCCUCAGCAGCACCAAUGCACUGACUGUCACUAUGUUCUCCUAGAUUUGGUCGAAGAUCUCAGUGAAUACCCAUCUGUCCAUCUUGAAGACCUCAUGACACCGGAGAUGGCAAAGGAGAGACGCGAAGAUUACCUCUGCUGGGUUAACAUGGCACAAUCUCGGCUCAAUGAACCCAUCAGCUCCCAGGUUUGAGGACUUCUCCGGCUUCCGCAUCCCGAGUAGCUGGGAUUACGGACGCCUGCCACCACACCCAGCUCAAAUCAUUUUAUGAAUGCAUAUUUCCAUCUGGGUGAAAAAAAAAUCACAAGCCUCUCUCUCUUCCUACUGAGCACCUGUGAACAGUGACCUGCAGUUUGUGGCUGCAGCCAGUCCUCAUGGAGCCUGCUGUUCUUACAUUUCAUUCUGAGGCUCACAUUCUCAGUCACCAUGCAGAAGAACACCCGCCCCAUCCUGGGUCAUUACAGAGUGGGCCAAUCCAUCUGCUGCAUCUGAGGAGCUGGGUCCAGCUUCUACGGUGAAUCCAUAUAUUUCUGUAUUUCCUGGAUAAGGAAGAGGAAAGGAGCUGAGCUGGUGGAGGAAGAAGAUCUAAUAUUAACUGACUCCUUAUUUUGUACCAGUCAAGGACGUGUCAACAUAGAGACUUAGGAGGACAAAGUGAACUUCCUGAUCCCCAACAGGCAGAUCCCCAAAAGCCAAAAUGUAUGUGUCACCUUGGAAGAUGACGCACCAGGAAGAAUGGGGAGGAGGGAGGAGGAAAAACUGCUGAUGAGGCCGACUCGCUCUUUGGGGCUUAUCAUAUCAGCAAAGCCAGCUCUUUUGAGAUGGAAGAACAAAGAUGUUUCUCCUCUGUGAGGAGGUGACAGUGGUGUUCUGGGUGAAGGAGAGCAGCUUUGUCCUGGAAGGAAUCUGACUUGGAAGGAGGCCCAGUUGUCCAGCAGUGGAUAUGACGUCAGAUAUUGACACAGCCAACAAUCGACUCAUCAUUUCUGAAGACCUGUGGAGUGUCCAUUGUGG
This 2635-nucleotide long non-coding RNA is filed under the name Homo sapiens (human). RNAcentral's name for it is "HSALNT0405603". The record is from RNAcentral. Lineage: Eukaryota; Metazoa; Chordata; Mammalia; Primates; Hominidae.